This 80-nucleotide microRNA precursor is filed under the name Anopheles maculatus. Its description in RNAcentral is "microRNA mir-315". The record is from RNAcentral. Lineage: Eukaryota; Metazoa; Arthropoda; Insecta; Diptera; Culicidae.
UGCAAAGUUACCUAUGAUUUUUGCAAACGCUACAUACGAUUUCGUAUGGAGCGUUUGCAAAAAUCAUAGGUAACUUUGCA